This 253-nucleotide ribosomal RNA is filed under the name uncultured bacterium. RNAcentral's name for it is "partial 16S ribosomal RNA". It matches the Rfam family "Bacterial small subunit ribosomal RNA", at positions 524 to 776 of the family's 1533-position model. The record is from RNAcentral.
UACGAAGGGGGCUAGCGUUGUUCGGAAUUACUGGGCGUAAAGCGCACGUAGGCGGAUCUAUAAGUCAGGGGUGAAAUCCCGGGGCUCAACCUCGGAACUGCCUCUGAUACUGUCGAUCUCGAGUCCGAUAGAGGUGAGUGGAAUUCCUAGUGUAGAGGUGAAAUUCGUAGAUAUUAGGAAGAACACCAGUGGCGAAGGCGGCUCACUGGCUCGAUACUGACGCUGAGGUGCGAAAGCGUGGGGAGCAAGCAGG